Small nuclear RNA from Uranotaenia lowii, 148 nucleotides. RefSeq annotates it as U4 spliceosomal RNA. NCBI's taxonomy places the organism in Eukaryota, Metazoa, Arthropoda, Insecta, Diptera, Culicidae. The record is from RefSeq and is a predicted model, not a curated record. The transcript has a single exon.
AGCUUUGCGCAGUGGCGAUAUCGUAACCAAUGAGGUUCUACCGAGGUGCGAUUAUUGCUAGUUGAAAACUAUCAAUUUAUAUGUUUUUGUAAUGUAGCACUUCAAUUGCCGGAACCUGUAUUGAAAAAUUCUUUCAACAUGAUUUUAG